UCGGUAGGGAUUAAGUGGACUCAUUCAGUAUGCCGGUGAGGUAUAAGUGGACCUACAGGGAUUAAGUGGACCUAUCUGGGACGCCGAUAGGGAUUAAGUAGACAUCAAGACGCUGAUGGGGUAUAUAGGUGACCUCCUUGGGACGCCAGUAGGGUAUUUUGUGAAAUCUUUUGAAUUAUGCACUGCCGUUAAAAUGUUAUACACAUUUCAAUUAUUCGAAUUAUACUUAAUUAUGCAUUUUUUAAAGUAAAACUGUUGAUGCAUUUCUGUUAAUAGAUCUCCUUUUUGAAAAUAUUGAUAUCUUUCAACCAUGAUUAUUUUUAGGAUUAUGAUGACCACUUACUGAGUAGCCAAACUCAUCAAACUAUGGUAAACAUUUCUUUCAGGAUAACUGCGGUUUCAUUUUUAGUGCUCGUCAGGAUCAACUUUGAAAGAUAUUGUAGUUGUGCUUAAACUUUCUUUUGUUACUUUGUAAGAAUUUGUCAUUGUAAAAUUGUUCUGUCAAGAGAUGUAUAUAUGUUU
RNAcentral lists this long non-coding RNA (522 nucleotides) under Amborella trichopoda. RNAcentral's name for it is "long non-coding RNA (ATRI_LNC004733)". The record is from RNAcentral. Lineage: Eukaryota; Viridiplantae; Streptophyta; Magnoliopsida; Amborellales; Amborellaceae.